CUGCCCUUCACUCUGGGACAAGCCCUGGAAACGGGGUCUAAUACCGGAUACGACCUGCCUCCGCAUGGGGGUGGGUGGAAAGCUCCGGCGGUGAAGGAUGAGCCCGCGGCCUAUCAGCUUGUUGGUGGGGUAAUGGCCUACCAAGGCGACGACGGGUAGCCGGCCUGAGAGGGCGACCGGCCACACUGGGACUGAGACACGGCCCAGACUCCUACGGGAGGCAGCAGUGGGGAAUAUUGCACAAUGGGCGAAAGCCUGAUGCAGCGACGCCGCGUGAGGGAUGACGGCCUUCGGGUUGUAAACCUCUUUCAGCAGGGAAGAAGCGAGAGUGACGGUACCUGCAGAAGAAGCGCCGGCUAACUACGUGCCAGCAGCCGCGGUAAUACGUAGGGCGCAAGCGUUGUCCGGAAU
Molecule: ribosomal RNA, 411 nt
Filed under: uncultured bacterium
Lineage: Bacteria
Description: bacterial SSU rRNA
Rfam family: Bacterial small subunit ribosomal RNA
Source: RNAcentral